This 406-nucleotide ribosomal RNA is filed under the name uncultured bacterium. RNAcentral's name for it is "partial 16S ribosomal RNA". It matches the Rfam family "Bacterial small subunit ribosomal RNA", at positions 30 to 526 of the family's 1533-position model. The record is from RNAcentral.
AUUGAACGCUGGCGGCAGGCCUAACACAUGCAAGUCGAACGAGUGGCGGACGGGUGAGUAAUGUCUGGGAAACUGUCUGAUGGAGGGGGAUAACUACUGGAAACGGUAGCUAAUACCGCAUACCAUCGGAUGUGCCCAUAUGGGAUUAGCUAGUAGGUGGGGUAACGGCUCACCUAGGCGACGAUCCCUAGCUGGUCUGAGAGGAUGACCCGCCACACUGGACCUGAGACCCGGUCCAGCCUCCUACGGUAGGCAGCAGUGUGGAAUAUUGCACAAUGGGCGCAAUCCUGAUGCAGCCAUUCCGCGUGUAUUAAGAAGGCCUUCGGGUUGUAAAGUACUUUCAGCGUGGAGGCGUUACCCGCAGAAGAAGCACCGGCUAACUCCGUGCCAGCAGCCGCGGUAAUUC